Molecule: ribosomal RNA, 461 nt
Filed under: Acinetobacter baumannii
Lineage: Bacteria; Pseudomonadati; Pseudomonadota; Gammaproteobacteria; Moraxellales; Moraxellaceae
Description: bacterial SSU rRNA
Rfam family: Bacterial small subunit ribosomal RNA
Source: RNAcentral
CGGCAGGCUUAACACAUGCAAGUCGAGCGGGGGAAGGUAGCUUGCUACUGGACCUAGCGGCGGACGGGUGAGUAAUGCUUAGGAAUCUGCCUAUUAGUGGGGGACAACAUCUCGAAAGGGAUGCUAAUACCGCAUACGUCCUACGGGAGAAAGCAGGGGAUCUUCGGACCUUGCGCUAAUAGAUGAGCCUAAGUCGGAUUAGCUAGUUGGUGGGGUAAAGGCCUACCAAGGCGACGAUCUGUAGCGGGUCUGAGAGGAUGAUCCGCCACACUGGGACUGAGACACGGCCCAGACUCCUACGGGAGGCAGCAGUGGGGAAUAUUGGACAAUGGGGGGAACCCUGAUCCAGCCAUGCCGCGUGUGUGAAGAAGGCCUUAUGGUUGUAAAGCACUUUAAGCGAGGAGGAGGCUACUUUAGUUAAUACCUAGAGAUAGUGGACGUACUCGCAGAAUAAGCACCGG